Molecule: non-coding RNA, 2051 nt
Organism: Oryctolagus cuniculus (rabbit)
Lineage: Eukaryota; Metazoa; Chordata; Mammalia; Lagomorpha; Leporidae
Source: RefSeq, a predicted model, not a curated record
GUUCUGAAUCUGUUGUUAAAAAUUCUAAGAUCAUGCAAAAGUUUAUUUUUCUGUGAAAAAUUUUAAUAAACAUAGAGCGCAAGUUUUUAUGGAUAUUUACUAAAUUCAGUAAGUAAAAAUAUUUAGGAAAUAUUUUGAUUAAAGUUCUAGCCCCGAAUGCAGAUUUAGCGAAAUGCCGUAGCACAUUCUCACCAAGCAUCCUCAACCUCCAAUAAGCUGCGUGUCAGCCGUAAGUCAGAGAUUCUGCAGUGCCUUCCUCAGGCCGCCAGGACUCAGUAAUGGUGACUUCAAGAAAAAGGGACCUCCCUGGUAGAGCAGCUAAAGAUGGGAGGAAACACCCACACCCCUGAUGACUUAGUGGAGGCAGAAGGGAGCGGACCACGGCUUUUCUGUCCGUUUGCAUUGAGACUUCCUGUGGGUGUUCUGUGCUUCACUCUGCUGAAGGAUCCUGGUCACAGGUCUAAUGUGACAUCACAGGUCUAGUGCUGCAUCACAGGUCUAGUGUGACAUCACAGGUCUAGUGUGACAUCACAGGUCUAGUGUGGCAUCACAGGUCUAGUGCUACAUCACAGGUCUAGUGUGACAUCACAGGUCUAGUGCUACAUCACAGGUCUAGUGUGGCAUCACAGGUCUAGUGCUACAUCACAGGUCUAGUGUGACAUCACAGGUCUAGUGCUACAUCACAGGUCUAGUGUGACAUCACAGGUCUAGUGCUACAUCACAAGUCUAGUGCUGCAUCACAGGUCUAGUGUGACAUCACAGGUCUAGUGUGACAUCACAGGUCUAGUGCUACAUCACAGGUCUAGUGCUGCAUCACAGGUCUAGUGUGACAUCACAGGUCUAGUGUGACAUCACAGGUCUAGUGCUACAUCACAGGUCUAGUGUGGCAUCUUCCACUGCUCUGUGAUUCUUUGGUCACACAGAGAGCUCUAGACGCUGGCGUCUGUUUGCAGCGCCACAUUCAUGCUCUGCCCAGAUCCAGUUCCAGCAUAGUUGGCCCUACAGUGUCCAUCCUAGAUGGACCUGCCCAGCUCCCCCGACUUGUCCUGCCCCCAACUUGUGUCACCACAUCUAGUGCCAGCACUCCUGAUGGAACCUGACUAGCGCCAAGUCUGGUGGGACAUCACGCCCCUCCUCUAGCUGGGGACACUCCUGUGGGCCAGGCAGCCUGGGAGCUGAUUGCUUUCACUGGUGUCCUGGCUUCCUGGGGCCAAGCUCCACCUGCCAGGUCCUGCCGCUGAGCCAGCGCAUUCACACGAUGUCCUGCAGGCGGAAGUCCGCCUCCCUCCCUCACAAGCGCGUGAACUCUUCCCGUAACAGUAUUUCCGCCUGUGCAGCUGCACCGUCUCCAGGUGACCAGGAGCUCCUGGGGGCAGGGCACCUUCUGACUCAUCUUAGACCCCGAGGCCAGCACGUGAAAGGUCCCCACCCAACAUCUGUUUUAUUGAGCCUGCACCUAGUGCCCUUCACUCGCUGAGCUGAGUCAGUAACGGUUACGUUUCAGCUGUCAAACGGCGAGGCGCCGUGGCCUGGUACGAACCCUGUGCGUCUUCAGGACGUUGGCUAACCACACCCACACCUGCACAAACACUGACUGUGGCAGCGCCAGCCCUAGGACUGAAGGUUCACGGUCUCUCAGGUCCUUUGACAGCCUGUGAGCGAGACCCAGACAUUCCUGGGGCCUUCCUCCCAGACAUCACUGAGGUCUUGAGCAACACAGGGCCGGGCAGAGCCCAGAGCAUGCCCCUGACAGCCACAGGUCGCCUGGUUCAUGCUGUGUCCCAGGAUGUUACGAGCCAUCGUUAGCGAGCUGACAUGUAUACUUUCUAGAACAUUCUGGACUUUUCUCCCUGUGAACCCAGCCACAGUCCUGACCCCCUUCUUUCCUUUCAUUCCUCCUGGGUCCUCCAGACAGGGGCUCUCUCCUCGCACCCCAGGCCCCAGUGGUGUGGUGGCAGCAGCCACACCGCAUCCUCAGAGUCACGGUGCACACGUGUGCACAUGCGUGUGGAGCGUGGCAUUCCAACCCUGCCAGCGGACAGUGCAGUGGG